GAUCCUGGCUCAGAAUCAACGCUGGCGGCGUGCCUCAGACAUGCAAGUCGAACGAUUAAAGCUCUCUUCGGAGAGUGCAUAAAGUGGCGCACGGGUGAGUAACACGUAAGUAAUCUACCUUCGAGUGGGGAAUAACGUUCGGAAACGAACGCUAAUACCGCAUAAUGCAGCGGCAUCGCAAGAUGACAGUUGUUAAAGAUUUAUCGCUUGAAGAGGAGCUUGCGGCAGAUUAGCUAGUUGGUAAGGUAAUGGCUUACCAAGGCUACGAUCUGUAUCCGGUCUAAGAGGACGGUCGGACACACUGACACUGAAUAACGGGUCAGACUCCUACGGGAGGCAGCAGUCGGGAAUUUUGGGCAAUGGGCGAAAGCCUGACCCAGCAACGCCGCGUGAAGGAUGAAGUUUUUCGGAAUGUAAACUUCGUAAGAAUAGGAAGAAUAAAUGACGGUACUAUUUGUAAGGUCCGGCUAACUACGUGCCAGCAGCCGCGGUAAUACGUAGGGACCAAGCGUUGUUCGGAUUUACUGGGCGUAAAGGGCGCGUAGGCGGCAAUUCAAGUCAUCUGUGAAAUCUCCGGGCUUAACUCGGAAUGGUCAGGUGAUACUGCUUUGCUAGAGUGCAGAAGGGGCAAUCGGAAUUCUUGGUGUAGCGGUGAAAUGCGUAGAUAUCAAGAGGAACACCUGAGGUGAA
Molecule: ribosomal RNA, 690 nt
Filed under: uncultured Acidobacteriota bacterium
Lineage: Bacteria; Pseudomonadati; Acidobacteriota
Description: bacterial SSU rRNA
Rfam family: Bacterial small subunit ribosomal RNA
Source: RNAcentral